GGACUCGUGCCUAGAAAUAAAGGACUACUUUGAUAGAGUAGGUAAUGAAGGUUAAAGCCCUCCCGACUCCU
Molecule: transfer RNA, 71 nt
Filed under: Tomeurus gracilis
Lineage: Eukaryota; Metazoa; Chordata; Actinopteri; Cyprinodontiformes; Poeciliidae
Description: tRNA-Ile
Rfam family: tRNA
About the family: Transfer RNA (tRNA) molecules are approximately 80 nucleotides in length. Their secondary structure includes four short double-helical elements and three loops (D, anti-codon, and T loops). Further hydrogen bonds mediate the characteristic L-shaped molecular structure. tRNAs have two regions of fundamental functional importance: the anti-codon, which is responsible for specific mRNA codon recognition, and the 3' end, to which the tRNAs corresponding amino acid is attached (by aminoacyl-tRNA synthetases). tRNAs cope with the degeneracy of the genetic code in two manners: having more than one tRNA (with a specific anti-codon) for a particular amino acid; and 'wobble' base-pairing, i.e. permitting non-standard base-pairing at the 3rd anti-codon position.
Source: RNAcentral